This 252-nucleotide ribosomal RNA is filed under the name uncultured bacterium. Its description in RNAcentral is "partial 16S ribosomal RNA". It matches the Rfam family "Bacterial small subunit ribosomal RNA", at positions 524 to 776 of the family's 1533-position model. The record is from RNAcentral.
UACGUAGGGUGCGAGCGUUAAUCGGAAUUACUGGGCGUAAAGCGGGCGCAGGCGGCUUUGCAAGACAGAUGUGAAAUCCCCGGGCUCAACCUGGGAACUGCAUUUGUGACUGCAAGGCUAGAGUACGGCAGAGGGGGAUGGAAUUCCGCGUGUAGCAGUAAAUGCGUAGAUAUGCGGAGGAACACCAAUGGCGAAGGCAAUCCCCUGGGCCUGUACUGACGCUCAUGCACGAAAGCGUGGGGAGCAAACAGG